CCCUGCCAUUUGUACACACCGCCCGUCGCUGCUACCGAUUGGAUGGUCCGGUGAAAUCCUCGGAUAGCGAAGAAUCCUUUAAUUCGUAAGAAUUGAAGUUCAUUGUUAGAAGUUGAUUAAACCUUAUCAUCUAG
This 134-nucleotide ribosomal RNA is filed under the name uncultured eukaryote. RNAcentral describes it as "partial small subunit ribosomal RNA". It matches the Rfam family "Eukaryotic small subunit ribosomal RNA", at positions 1651 to 1776 of the family's 1831-position model. The record is from RNAcentral.